This 315-nucleotide ribosomal RNA is filed under the name uncultured bacterium. Its description in RNAcentral is "bacterial SSU rRNA". It matches the Rfam family "Bacterial small subunit ribosomal RNA", at positions 54 to 354 of the family's 1533-position model. The record is from RNAcentral.
GCUUACCAUGCAGUCGAGCGAGAACUGGACUUCGGAACUGGGGACAGCGGCGAUCGGGUGAGUAACACGUGGGUAAUCUGCCCUCGGUUCUGGGAUAGCCCGGGGAAACUCGGCCUAAUACCGGAUAGCCUCUCUGGCCCUCGGGCCGGCGAGAAAAGGUAGCUUCGGCCUCCGACUGAGGAUGAGCCCGCGGCGGAUUAGCUUGUUGGUGGGGUAACGGCUCACCAAGGCGACGAUCCGUAGCUGGUCUGAGAGGACGAUCAGCCACACUGGGACUGAGACACGGCCCAGACUCCUACGGGAGGCAGCAGUGGG